AACCAAAGAAGAUGACAAAGAACGAUAAAAGAAGAUAAAAUCCUAAAUGAAUUAGGGGUAAGCUAAGCAGGAACUAUAUCAUACAAAUCAAGGAUGUUGGCAAAAAAAGGGUGGAGAGGAAAUCAGAGCUCCAAGCGAAGAAACUCCUUAUAGACGGCAAUAUAGCCAUCAGGAAGAUGGACAAUCCGACUUUCUUCAUCAGGCCCUAUC
Molecule: long non-coding RNA, 210 nt
Filed under: Elaeis guineensis (African oil palm)
Lineage: Eukaryota; Viridiplantae; Streptophyta; Magnoliopsida; Arecales; Arecaceae
Description: long non-coding RNA (EGUI_LNC004723)
Source: RNAcentral